GUGCCAGCCGCUGCGGUAAUACGAAGGGGCUAGCGUUGCUCGGAAUCACUGGGCGUAAAGGGUGCGUAGGCGGGUUUUUAAGUCAGGGGUGAAAUCCUGGAGCUCAACUCCAGAACUGCCUUUGAUACUGAAGAUCUUGAGUCCGGGAGAGGUGAGUGGAACUGCGAGUGUAGAGGUGAAAUUCGUAGAUAUUCGCAAGAACACCAGUGGCGAAGGCGGCUCACUGGCCCGGUACUGACGCUGAGGCACGAAAGCGUGGGAGCAAACAGGAUUAGAUACCCUGGUAGUCCACGCCGUAACGAUGAAUGCCAGCCGUUAGUGGGUUUACUCACUAGUGGCGCAGCUAACGCUUUAAGCAUUCCGCCU
RNAcentral lists this ribosomal RNA (366 nucleotides) under uncultured Bradyrhizobium sp. RNAcentral describes it as "bacterial SSU rRNA". It matches the Rfam family "Bacterial small subunit ribosomal RNA", at positions 505 to 874 of the family's 1533-position model. The record is from RNAcentral. Lineage: Bacteria; Pseudomonadati; Pseudomonadota; Alphaproteobacteria; Hyphomicrobiales; Nitrobacteraceae.